This 376-nucleotide ribosomal RNA is filed under the name uncultured bacterium. RNAcentral's name for it is "bacterial SSU rRNA". It matches the Rfam family "Bacterial small subunit ribosomal RNA", at positions 335 to 704 of the family's 1533-position model. The record is from RNAcentral.
ACUCCUACGGGAGGCAGCAGUGGGGAAUAUUGCACAAUGGGGGAAACCCUGAUGCAGCCAUGCCGCGUGUGUGAAGAAGGCCUUCGGGUUGUAAAGCACUUUCAGUAGGGAGGAAGGUAGUGUAGUUAACACCUGCACUAUUUGUACGUUACCUACAGAAGAAGCACCGGCUAACUCCGUGCCAGCAGCCGCGGUAAUACGGAGGGUGCGAGCGUUAAUCGGAAUUACUGGGCGUAAAGCGCAUGCAGGCGGCCUGUUAAGUCAGAUGUGAAAGCCCGGGGCUUAACCUCGGAAUUGCAUUUGAAACUGGCAGGCUAGAGUCUUGUAGAGGGGUAGAAUUUCAGGUGUAGCGGUGAAAUGCGUAGAGAUCUGAAGG